UACAGAGGGGGCAAGCGUUGUUCGGAAUUACUGGGCGUAAAGGGCGCGUAGGCGGCCUGUUAAGUCGAACGUGAAAUCCCCGGGCUCAACCCGGGAACUGCGUCCGAUACUGGCAGGCUUGAAUCCGGGAGAGGGAUGUGGAAUUCCAGGUGUAGCGGUGAAAUGCGUAGAUAUCUGGAGGAACACCGGUGGCGAAGGCGGCAUCCUGGACCGGUAUUGACGCUGAGGCGCGAAAGCGUGGGGAGCAAACAGG
Molecule: ribosomal RNA, 253 nt
Filed under: uncultured bacterium
Lineage: Bacteria
Description: partial 16S ribosomal RNA
Rfam family: Bacterial small subunit ribosomal RNA
Source: RNAcentral